This 895-nucleotide ribosomal RNA is filed under the name Allodiatrype thailandica. Its description in RNAcentral is "partial large subunit ribosomal RNA". It matches the Rfam family "Eukaryotic large subunit ribosomal RNA", at positions 34 to 954 of the family's 3401-position model. The record is from RNAcentral. Lineage: Eukaryota; Fungi; Ascomycota; Sordariomycetes; Xylariales; Diatrypaceae.
CUAGCAUAUCAAUAAGCGGAGGAAAAGAAACCAACAGGGAUUGCCCUAGUAACGGCGAGUGAAGCGGCAACAGCUCAAAUUUGAAAUCUGGCCCUCGGGUCCGAGUUGUAAUUUGUAGAGGAUGCUUUUGGUGCAGUGCCUUCCGAGUUCCUUGGAACAGGACGCCUUAGAGGGUGAGAGCCCCGUACGGUUGGACACUAAGCCUCUGUAAAGCUCCUUCGACGAGUCGAGUAGUUUGGGAAUGCUGCUCUAAAUGGGAGGUAAAUUUCUUCUAAAGCUAAAUACCGGCCAGAGACCGAUAGCGCACAAGUAGAGUGAUCGAAAGAUGAAAAGUACUUUGAAAAGAGGGUUAAAUAGCACGUGAAAUUGUUGAAAGGGAAGCGUUUAUGACCAGACCUUUGUCUGGCGGAUCAUCCGGUGUUCUUCACCGGUGCACUUCGCCAGGCUCAGGCCAGCAUCGAUUUCUGUAGGGGGAUAAAAACCAUGGGAACGUAGCUCUCUCCGGGGAGUGUUAUAGCCCUAGGUACAAUACCUUUACGGGGAUCGAGGUUCGCGCUUCUGCAAGGAUGCUGGCGUAAUGGUCAUCAACGACCCGUCUUGAAACACGGACCAAGGAGUCGAACAUUUAUGCGAGUGUUUGGGUGUUAAACCCUCACGCGUAAUGAAAGUGAACGGAGGUGAGAGCCCGUACGGGUGCAUCAUCGACCGAUCCUGAUGUCUUCGGAUGGAUUUGAGUAAGAGCAUAACUGUUCGGACCCGAAAGAUGGUGAACUAUGCGUGGAUAGGGUGAAGCCAGAGGAAACUCUGGUGGAGGCUCGCAGCGGUUCUGACGUGCAAAUCGAUCGUCAAAUCUGCGCAUGGGGGCGAAAGACUUAUCGAACCAUCUAGUAGCUGG